Molecule: ribosomal RNA, 460 nt
Filed under: uncultured bacterium
Lineage: Bacteria
Description: partial 16S ribosomal RNA
Rfam family: Bacterial small subunit ribosomal RNA
Source: RNAcentral
CCUACGGGAGGCAGCAGUGAGGAAUAUUGGUCAAUGGACGAGAGUCUGAACCAGCCAAGUAGCGUGAAGGAUGACUGCCCUAUGGGUUGUAAACUUCUUUUAUAUGGGAAUAAAACGUUCCACGUGUGGGAUUUUGUAUGUACCAUAUGAAUAAGGAUCGGCUAACUCCGUGCCAGCAGCCGCGGUAAUACGGAGGAUCCGAGCGUUGUCCGGAUUUAUUGGGUUUAAAGGGAGCGUAGGUGGAUUGUUAAGUCAGUUGUGAAAGUUUGCGGCUCAACCGUAAAAUUGCAGUUGAAACUGGCAGUCUUGAGUACAGUAGAGGUGGGCGGAAUUCGUGGUGUAGCGGUGAAAUGCUUAGAUAUCACGAAGAACUCCGAUUGCGAAGGCAGUUCACUGGACUGCAACUGACACUGAGGCUCGAAAGUGUGGGUAUCAAACAGGAUUAGAUACCCGAGUAGUC